Molecule: unclassified non-coding RNA, 439 nt
Filed under: Hevea brasiliensis (rubber tree)
Lineage: Eukaryota; Viridiplantae; Streptophyta; Magnoliopsida; Malpighiales; Euphorbiaceae
Rfam family: Small nucleolar RNA Z102/R77 (bases 19-107)
Source: RNAcentral
GAAAAAUUUGUGUGAUGAGAAUGAGAUGAUGAUUGUGAUAUGUUUCCCUAUUGGUUUGAUUGCCGUAAUGAUGGCAAACAUUCUGUCGUAGCUCUAUCUGAUCAUUCUCUUUCACAUUAUAAUCUUUUAUUUUGCUAUGUACCUAAAUCAUGUCAUUUUUCAACAUGUUGUAAGGAGAUGAUGAUUUAUGUUUGUUUCCCUAUUGGUUUGAUAGCCGUAAUGAUGGCAUCUUCCAAUGUAUUAGCUCUAUCUGAUCAUUCUCUUGUUUUAUGACUUGAUCCCUUGACUGCUUAAACUUUUGACUUAGAUUUGAGAGUUCUGAACUAUAUGUUAGUUAUCUUUGGUUUUUAAUUAUUGAGGGUGAAAUGAUGAUUAUAAUAUGUUUCCCUAUUGGUUUGAUCGCCGCAAUGAUGGCAAACAUAUUAGCUCUAUCUGAUCA